CGUAGGGGCGAGCGUUGUCCGGAUUUACUGGGCGUAAAGGGUGAGUAGGCGGUUAUUUAAGUCAGAUGUAAAAGGCUAUGGCUCAACUAUAGUAAGCAUUUGAAACUGGAUAACUUGAGUGCAGGAGAGGUAAGUGGAAUUCCUAGUAUAGCGGUGAAAUGCGUAGAUAUUAGGAGGAACACCAGUGGCGAAGGCGACUUACUGGACUGUAACUGACGCUGAGUCACGAAAGCGUGGGUAGCAAACAGGAUU
RNAcentral lists this ribosomal RNA (252 nucleotides) under uncultured bacterium. Its description in RNAcentral is "partial 16S ribosomal RNA". It matches the Rfam family "Bacterial small subunit ribosomal RNA", at positions 526 to 779 of the family's 1533-position model. The record is from RNAcentral.